Drosophila grimshawi is the source of this 2698-nucleotide RNA transcript. RefSeq lists it as uncharacterized. The record is from RefSeq and is a predicted model, not a curated record. The transcript has 3 exons. NCBI's taxonomy places the organism in Eukaryota, Metazoa, Arthropoda, Insecta, Diptera, Drosophilidae.
UGUUAAAUAAAUGUAUAAGUUUUUUUUAUUUGAAAUUAAAUCUGCUGUUAGCUUUUUUCAACUGCCAGCAGCUUGCACUGAAAGCUAAGAGUAAAAAUCGAGUAGUUGGCUUCAACUUAUAAAAAAAUCAAUAAGCGCAAAAGUGUCGCCAAAAAAAUAAAAAAAAAACGUGCUCAGGCUGUGAAAUUUGAAAGGAAAUCUGGCAACAAAAAACAAGAAAAGAAAACGCACGAGGCGAGAAUAAGUCCAUAAGUUAUAUAACAUACGACAAUUGGCGUCUGUGUGUGUGUGUGGGUGGGUGUGUGAGUGUGUGUGUGUGUGUGGGUGAGUGUUUAUGUGUGUGUGUGUGUGGGAGGCUCAAUCGAUAGACAAGCCACGAUGAUGAUGAGGAACUGCUCCUAAUUGGAUUACAAGCGACGUGGCUUAGCAGAGAGACAAACGACAAGAAGUCUGAUAAAGAUUAGCAAUUAAAUAGCAAAAGAAGCUUUUACAGCCAGCUUUUACAACAACAGCAACAGCAUGGGCAAGAAGAAGGUGCUCGUUGAGGAUUUGGUUGUGCCGCCACAAGAUACACGCAUCUGUGGCACCAUCUGCAUAUGCCAGAUGACGCUGGUGCUCAGCUCCGUGGCAUUGGUCUAUCUAACUGUGGCCAUUUAUAUGCCAUCGACGCGUGCCUUUAAAAGUGGCAUUGAUCCCACGCCCGUCAUGUGCACCACAACCCGUGCCCUCAACAAGGACAACUGCGAGUGGGGCAGCUGUGGUGAGUGGUGCCUGAGCAAGACAUCCGGUGCGUGCAUCCAAAUCUACGUGAAUCUACGCAGCAAUGGCACCAAUCUCACCUUUCAGAAUUGCACGAAUUCGGCGAAUAAAACGUGCUACGGCAUCGAUCAGGAUCGGGCGGAUAAAGCCCGUUGCAUCAACGACGAGUGCAAGAAUCUAACGGGUACUUUCAACUGCACAGCCGGACAGUGUUUGAAUAUAACGGAUGCCUUCGAGUGCGUCUUCCACAACAGUGACGCGCCCGUCAAGUGUUCGGGGCGACGUGGCAAAAUCAAUUGCAUGGACAUCAGUGGACUGUUCUCGUGCAGUCGCGGCACAUGCCGCAAGAUAAGGACACCCUACAAUUGCGACAGACGCUGCGUGGAUAUACCAACCAGGAACAAGAAUGUGGUGGUGCUGAGCGGCGAUAAGGUGUAUCUCUCCCAGUGUCAGAAUGCCAUCAAUGCGGAAACGCUCGAGGAGGUGUGGAACGAAUCGAGCGAUAAUGUUGCCAUGACAUCCUGUUAUUAUAUUAAGAACACCUCGGAUCGGGUGGAUGCAGUGGACUGCAUUAAUGGUUCAACGCUGGAACAUAAUAUGCUCAGUGAUCUGACAAAUUUCACAUAUCUGAGUCAUUUGCAUGUGUCGGUGGCGACACCGGUGCCAGAGAUUGCACCACCCGAUGUCGACUUGACCAUUUCGAAUGAGUCGAAGCUGAUGAUUAACUUGGAGGGUUGCGUUAAUACCCUGAUGGAUGAGUGCAAGGAGUUCCUCAAGGACUUUGGACGUGAUGGCAGUGAUCAUAAUGCCCGGGCACGAUUCCCCUGCUUCUAUUCACCGUCCAAGAAGGAUGUGGUGGUGGCCCGCUUCGAUCUGGAGGUCACCUAUCGCCAGUUUGUGUUCGCGUCGGUGGUGCCGUCGGUGCUGUUCGUGGUCUCCUGUUCGGUGCUGUUGCUCUGCCAGCGCACCGUCUAUGUCGGCGACGAUGCCAAGAUGCGUUUCAAAGGAUGCGUCGACACGGCGACCAUUCUAUCCAAGAACAACGUCGGCACACCAACCAACGGCGACAUGGGCGCUGGCGGCGGUGGCGACGAGGUCAUGGCCCUAUGAGAUCCGUCACGGAAUUACACUGUGCUACAUACGUAUUUUCAACUAACGAUCAAAAUAACUUUCCUUGGGCAUUCCUCUGCUCCAGGAAGACAGUCCGGUGCAUCAGACUGGCGUCUUCGCUUUGCAGUAAUGGAGUUGGGCAUUGAAACCACUCGCAAACAACUCUUUGUAAUCCUUCCAUCGAACUUCUAAACAAGCGACCACACCACAACAACAAGACCACAACAACAACAAGAACAACAAACACCUGAGCGGCUUGCAAGGACACUCCUGAGCUAACAGCAAUCACAGAAAAAAACUAAAAACAAAAAAAAACUAAAAACGAAAUAAUAAUAAUUAUAAUAAUAAUAAUAAUACGUCAACACUAAAUGCGAGGCACGUGUAUAAGAAAUUCUCGAGAUACGAACCGAUCAGAAGACAAUAUUAGUAUAAUUUGUAUAUUUUUGGAAUAAGGCUAAGUGCGCUAGGCCACUUACUGAGUGUAAUUAGGAGUUUUAGGACGAGGAGUAUGGACUUGGGGGCGAUUAGCACAAAAGCGACAAAUUGAUUGAAUUACUUGACUUAAAGUUAAAAACGCCAUCAAUAGAGAAUAUAUAUAAUACUUGAAUGCACUCACACGAAGCACGCGCACAACAACACACACACACACAACACAUACACACACACACAAAUACACGCACAUCACACAGCAACAACAUGGGAAUUAGAAUCAGCCCUUAGGAACAGUAAUGGUCAAAACGGUUUGGGAGGGAUGCGUGAUCAAAAAUAACUAAGAAGAUACCAACAAAAAUAUAUAAAGUCUCGCAAGAAUUAGUUAACUCAAAACAAA